GAUGAACGCUAGCUACAGGCUUAACACAUGCAAGUCGAGGGGAAACGACAUUGAAGCUUGCUUCGAUGGUCGUCGACCGGCGCACGGGUGAGUAACGCGUAUCCAACCUGCCUCUGACCAAGGGAUAACCCGUCGAAAGUCGGCCUAAUACCUUAUGCAGUCGUCGGAAGUCAUCUGAUGACGACGAAAGAUUUCAUCGGUGAGAGAUGGGGAUGCGUCUGAUUAGCUUGUUGGCGGGGUAACGGCCCACCAAGGCAACGAUCAGUAGGGGUUCUGAGAGGAAGGUCCCCCACAUUGGAACUGAGACACGGUCCAAACUCCUACGGGAGGCAGCAGUGAGGAAUAUUGGUCAAUGGGCGAGAGCCUGAACCAGCCAAGUAGCGUGCAGGAUGACGGCCCUAUGGGUUGUAAACUGCUUUUAUGCGGGGAUAAAGUGAGGGACGUGUCCUUCAUUGCAGGUACCGCAUGAAUAAGGACCGGCUAAUUCCGU
Molecule: ribosomal RNA, 490 nt
Filed under: uncultured bacterium
Lineage: Bacteria
Description: partial 16S ribosomal RNA
Rfam family: Bacterial small subunit ribosomal RNA
Source: RNAcentral